CAUUGCUAGAUGGUCACUUCGAUUGGUACAAGAAUUUAUUCUUAUGCUACCCACUUAAGUUCGAGCCUAUGAGAUCACAUACAUUAGAGUUUAUGAUCCGAUCGGAUGGUUGAUCAAUGAUUAAGAAUCGUUCUAGGGUUAAACGAUCAAUACGGUUGACAUUUAACCUAGUACAAGUGUUGCAGGAGGAUCGAUUAGCAAUUUGAUUGCUAAUUGACUUAAUUUGAUUAAGUCAAUGGGCUGAGAUUAAGUCUAAUUGAAU
Molecule: long non-coding RNA, 262 nt
Filed under: Elaeis guineensis (African oil palm)
Lineage: Eukaryota; Viridiplantae; Streptophyta; Magnoliopsida; Arecales; Arecaceae
Description: long non-coding RNA (EGUI_LNC082187)
Source: RNAcentral